UGGGGGAUAUUGCACAAUGGGCGAAAGCCUGAUGCAGCGACGCCGAGUGGGGGAUGAAGGCCUUCGGGUUGUAAACUUCUUUUGCUCUGAACAAGGCGCACCAUGGGGUGUGUUGAGUGUAGGGGUUGAUUAGCGCCGGCUAACUACGUGCCAGCAGCCGCGGUAAUACGUAGGGCGCGAGCGUUGUCCGGAAUUAUUGGGCGUAAAGGGCUUGUAGGUGGCUGGUUGCGUCUGUCGUGAAAGCUCAUGGCUUAACUGUGGGUUUGCGGUGGGUACGGGCUGGCUUGAGUGCAGUAGGGGAGGCUGGAAUUCCUGGUGUAGCGGUGGAAUGCGCAGAUAUCAGGAGGAAUACCGGUGGCGAAGGCGGGUCUCUGGGCUGUUACUGACACUGAGGAGCGAAAGCAUGGGGAGCGAACAGG
Molecule: ribosomal RNA, 419 nt
Filed under: bacterium
Lineage: Bacteria
Description: partial 16S ribosomal RNA
Rfam family: Bacterial small subunit ribosomal RNA
Source: RNAcentral